GAAAAAAAUGAAAAGUGUCCACCACCCCCCCUCAACCCCCGAGGGGGGCAGGGAUGCUACCAACGCAGAAGCCAUCCUGUUUUGGCUCUGGGAUGGCAAUCAAACCCAGAGCCACAAACACAUUAGGCAAGGGCUCCUUCAGCGAGUUCCAUCCCCAGCCUGGAGACAGAAGAUGGUAGAUUCAUAUUGCCAAGUGAAAGAAGCUCAUCUAAGAAGACUACACGGUUCUACUUCAGGGUGUCAGAGCUGGUUUGUGGCAGAGCAGGGACCAUGAUAGUCUCCAGCCUUCUACUCCAGUCCAUGGUGAGCGGGACUCCAUCACCACAGACCCGGUCUUUGGCACUGCCAGAAAAGCUGGAAGAGUCUCUGGAGAAAGGAAUUUAAUAUGUCCCAAGAGCCUUCAAAUGUGUCAGUGCCCUGUGACCCGGUGCAUUCUCCACUGAGCAAUCACACCCAUUGCAGAUCGACUUAUAUUGAGUUAAGAAUACCUACGAACAACCUGAAUAUCUAAUAACUGGGAAUGUUUACACAAAUUAUAGGAAUUCAUAAGCUAGUACAUUAUGCAACUGUUAAGUUUUUUCCUUAAAAAGAGUUUGUAAGGACAAGCAAGAAAAAUGUUCAAUGUAAUGUUUAGCCAAAGAGGAAAAAAAAGAGAGAGAUGGAUCAUAAAAUUAUAUAUAAAGUAUGAUCUCAACCCUGCUUUAAACAGUGUGUGGAGAAACGCCACAGGGAGACUUAGGAAAAUGUUAACAGUAUGUGUCUCUGGACAGCAAUGCUUGUGGUGCUGUCCCUGUUUUGAAAUGCUACUUGUCUGAUUUUGUGCAGAGCUCAGGGGAAAUGCCUUUAGAGAACCACAAACACGGCGGAUCCGGGCGGGGGUGGCACAUGCCUUUAAUCCCAGCUCUCGGGGAAACAGAAGCAGGUGGAUCUCUGUGAAUUUGAGGCCAGCCUUGUGUAGAGAGUGAGUUCCAGGACAGCCAUGGCUAAGAGAAAAAGAAAGCAUGUGGUGUCUCUAGUCUAUAUAAUGGAAGUGAAGUAUGUGCUGGCCAGUAGCCAUGGCUACUUUUAAAAUCACUUGUCCUUUUAUUAUUUAUUCGCAUAUUUAUGUAUUGAGACAAGCUCUUGCUCAAUAUCUGAGACAAGCCUCAGACACAGGGAAAUGCUAUCUUGGCCUCCUGCAUGCUGGGAAGAGCCACAGUGCCAAGCAAAAUAACUUAUUCUGUUCUCCUCUCAUGAACUGAGAAACACACACAUACACACAUACACACACACACAUAUACACACAGACACACACACACACAGUUUUGUUCUCAGCCUUCAGACCCUAUUUGUAACAUUUGUGGGGCUAGAGUAAGCACGCAAAUUAUGGCCCACAUAGCAUCCAUCUACACACAUAGACAUUAGAAAUCAUGCCAACCUGCCUGGAAAAGGAGUAUUUCUUCUCUUCCUCCUCCUCCUUCACAAAGACACCUCAGAAUGGCCUGGAUAUCUGGCUUCAAAUCUGACAUUAUCCAAGCCCACAAAGGAGACCAGCCAUGACCUUGAACAUCCAGUUCUACUUCCAGGGACUAUUGCACGUGUGCACAUCUGGUCAGCUGUGUGCCUUGACAGGGAGGAGCCCACUGCCUCUUGUGCACUUGGAAGUUGUGCUGAGGAGGAACUGCUAACUCUCUGGAGGCUAGGUCCCAGGAUCCAGGCUGUUCAGGAAGCAGGUGUAGGGACAGUCCUUAUUUCUAGACACUUAGAGCAAGACCCAGAAGGGAUGAGGUUGGCUCAUUGGAUGCCUGACCCUGUGGGGUACAGGCCAGCCCCUGUCUCCAGCUUACCGAGUUCAUCACAACAUGCUGGCUUUUCUUUUUCUUUUUGCAUCUUCUGAAAAACAAUUUGACAAGUUGUUGAGUGAUCCUGAUGGCAAGCUGCUAUAAAGAUUUCAUUGUCAAGUUAACCUACCAAUGCAUAUAAAACUGCACAGUGCUUUAUAUUUCCUUUCAUGCAAACCAAAAUCAAACCAAACAAAUGACACACAUAUGCUUUGAGUUUGGUGUGGUAGAACAGCCCUGUAAUCCCAGCACUCUGGGGCUGAAACAGGAUAAUCCUGAGUUUGGGGCUAGUCUAGGUUACAUAGUGAGAUCAUGUCUAAAGAGGCAAACCAUUAAAAAAAUGGGAUAUAUACAUGCACAUAAAUAUACACGCAUACACACUCAAACACACUGAGACACAUAUACAUACAAAAACACACGAACAACAUGCACACAUACAUACACAAACACCCACAGACAUACACAAAUACACAUACACACAUUAAAGCACACAGACAGAUAUGUACACAUACAACACACACAUAAACAGAUGCACAUACACAUACAUAGACACAUAGACACAAAUACACAUACACAUAUACAUAAACAUACAGACAGACAUACACUCUCACACAUGAAUACACACAUAUACAAACACAAGCACACAAUACACACUCAUGCAUAUCUGAAAUAUUGAUCAAAUGCAGAUUGGUUUUUUAGAAAAAUCAUCCUGGCUGAUGUUCUUUCUCUACAAUGCCUUGUUCCUUACCAUGCCUGCACUGAGUGCUGGUGAGCUUUUUCUAAAUGUUGCCAAUCUGAUAGGCAAAACAUGACGUGUAAUCUCUCUUUCUCUCUCUCUCUCUCUCUCUCUCUCUCUCUCUCUCUCUCUCUCGUAAACUGACAACUCAUAUCUUUUGCCCACAGAUGCUCCUUUUCUUACUGACUUGUACAGGGAAAUGAGAUAUAUUUUACUGGCAUUUUUCAGCUUCGAAAUUUGCCUUUGGACAUGGUUUGCAGCAUUUUUUUAAAAAAAUUUCUUUACUAUUUUGUGUUUUGAGAUAGGAUUUCUGACUGGUCUUGAACUUAUCAUGAUGAUAAAGAUGACCUUAACCUUCUGAUCUUCCUGCUUCAACCUCCCAAGUGCUAGAGUCUUAGGAGUACAUCACAAAGCCCAGUCCAGUGGUCCAGUGGUCCAGUGGUCCAGUAGUGCUGUGGAUGGAAUACAGGGAUGCUUGUGCGGUAGCAAGCCCUCUACUACAGAGCUAUAUCCCCAGUAUUUUAAAAUCAUGUUGUUAGUACCCUGAAGGCACACCCAAAAUUGUUGCAAGUUGGAGGUCAGCCUGGGCUACACUGCAAGACUGAAUCUCAGAAAACAAUAGUCAUUUUUUUUUCUGAAUAAAACAACUUAUGUGUGACUUA
Apodemus sylvaticus (European woodmouse) is the source of this 3218-nucleotide long non-coding RNA. RefSeq lists it as uncharacterized. The transcript has 3 exons. The record is from RefSeq and is a predicted model, not a curated record. Lineage: Eukaryota; Metazoa; Chordata; Mammalia; Rodentia; Muridae.